RNAcentral lists this unclassified non-coding RNA (351 nucleotides) under rhizosphere metagenome. RNAcentral's name for it is "partial ribosomal RNA internal transcribed spacer region". The record is from RNAcentral.
GUAGGUGAACCUGCGGAAGGAUCAUUAACACGUAUCCAACGUUAAACCCCCCGUGAACCUUCAAAGUGCUCUUGGUGCCUUUACGGAACAGCAAUCCUGGUAAAUCAGUGGCGAGAUUCGUUUUUGAUUCAGGACCUCUGUCCAUGGUGCCAAUCGAGCGCAAAGUUAGUGGGUCUGGUUACCUGGCCUGGCGGAUGAAAGUGUCGCUGUACGGUUACGAGGUUUAUAGGCAUCAGCGAUCGCUAGAAGGCUCCUCACGAGCCGGCGAACAGACCUGCAGCUGGUCACAUAGCAAGUGCGCCGUGAUGCAGGUAAAUCGUACAACUGUUAACAAUGGAUAUCUUGGUUCUC